GUUGCGUAUUAAAUUAGUAGUGUGCUGCUUCAUGUUUCAGGUGAAGAGGUUCAGUUUUGCUGGUGCUUCAUCUGAGAAUGACGGUAGAGUAAUGACUGUUCUUCAAGAUGUGUUUCUUGCUAAUGUUGAGGUGUGUCAGGACAAUUUUCGUCCAAAAUGCAUAUAUGUUGCUGUCAUGUUGAGAAGGAUAAUGGAUGCAAUUUUAAACAAGGAUGCAAUGGAUG
This is a non-coding RNA of Prunus mume (Japanese apricot), 224 nucleotides long. Lineage: Eukaryota; Viridiplantae; Streptophyta; Magnoliopsida; Rosales; Rosaceae. The record is from RefSeq and is a predicted model, not a curated record.